ACUUUUAAAGGAUAAUAGUAAUCCAUUGG
RNAcentral lists this transfer RNA (29 nucleotides) under Pleurodeles waltl (Iberian ribbed newt). RNAcentral describes it as "partial tRNA-Leu". The record is from RNAcentral. Lineage: Eukaryota; Metazoa; Chordata; Amphibia; Caudata; Salamandridae.